GCGCUCGUAACUCAGCUGGAUAGAGUGACAGACUUCGAAUCUGUAGGUCGUGGGUUCAAAUCCUUCCGGGCGCG
This 74-nucleotide transfer RNA is filed under the name Entomospira nematocerorum. It matches the Rfam family "tRNA". Rfam says of the family: Transfer RNA (tRNA) molecules are approximately 80 nucleotides in length. Their secondary structure includes four short double-helical elements and three loops (D, anti-codon, and T loops). RNAcentral also lists the same sequence under 1 other name. Lineage: Bacteria; Pseudomonadati; Spirochaetota; Spirochaetia; Spirochaetales; Spirochaetaceae. The record is from Rfam by way of RNAcentral.